UCGUUUUACUACUCAUUCAUCUUUGCAAUUCUUUUUAUAUUAAAAGUUUCAUACCAAACUAUUUUAAGCACAAAAAUGAGCUUUCGAGGUGGUUUUUCUAGAGGUCGUGGUAAUUAUGGUCGAGGUGGUUUCUCUAGUAGAGGGAGAGGAUCCAAGGGAUUAGAGCAAGGGUCUCCAGAUUCUGUAGUAGUGAUCGGAAGUUUUCUGCAACCCUGUGAAGCUGACAUCGUUUGCAAAUCCCUUAACGAAAAAAUACCAUUUUUUAAUGCGCCCAUUUACCUUGAAAACAAAGUUCAAAUAGGUAAAGUGGAUGAGAUAUUUGGGCCAAUUAAUGAAGUGUACUUUUCCGUUAAGCCCGCAGAAGGCAUUAUCGCAGCCUCGUUUAAGGCGGAUCAAAAGUUUUAUAUUGCUUCCGACAAACUUCUGCCUUUGUCUCGCUUCUUACCUAAACCAGCCGCUCUAAAAAAGGUAGGCGCUGUUAAAAAAAAAUCCAGUCGUCCUUUAAAUCGUGGUGGCGGCGGAGCGCGGAACUUUGGUCCCUUCAACACACGGGGGAAAUUUAGAGGCGCCGCAAGGGGAGCGCGUGGGGCAUUUCGUGGUCGCUCUAGAGGAUUUUCAAGAGGAUUUUAACUUUAUAUAUGUGGAACUAUUUAAUAGGCGUUGAAGGAAGGAAA
Long non-coding RNA from Zophobas morio, 674 nucleotides. RefSeq lists it as uncharacterized. The record is from RefSeq and is a predicted model, not a curated record. The transcript is spliced from 4 exons. NCBI's taxonomy places the organism in Eukaryota, Metazoa, Arthropoda, Insecta, Coleoptera, Tenebrionidae.